GAUGAACGCUGGCGGCGUGCCUAAUACAUGCAAGUCGAGCGAACAGACGAGGAGCUUGCUCCUCUGACGUUAGCGGCGGACGGGUGAGUAACACGUGGAUAACCUACCUAUAAGACUGGGAUAACUUCGGGAAACCGGAGCUAAUACCGGAUAAUAUAUUGAACCGCAUGGUUCAAUAGUGAAAGACGGUUUUGCUGUCACUUAUAGAUGGAUCCGCGCCGCAUUAGCUAGUUGGUAAGGUAACGGCUUACCAAGGCGACGAUGCGUAGCCGACCUGAGAGGGUGAUCCGCCACACGGGAACUGAGACACGGUCCAGACUCCUACGGGAGGCAGCGGUAGGGAAUCUUCCGCAAGGGGCGAAAGCCUGACGGAGCAACGCCGCGUGAGUGAUGAAGGUCUUCGGCUCGUAAAACUCUGUUAUUAGGGAAGAACAAAUGUGUAAGUAACUAUGCACGUCUUGACGGUACCUAAUCAGAAAGCCACGGCUAACUACGUG
RNAcentral lists this ribosomal RNA (497 nucleotides) under uncultured bacterium. Its description in RNAcentral is "partial 16S ribosomal RNA". It matches the Rfam family "Bacterial small subunit ribosomal RNA", at positions 28 to 507 of the family's 1533-position model. The record is from RNAcentral.